GGUGAUGGAUGCAGCUCAGAGGUAGAGAGCUUGCCUGGCAUGCACAAGGCUCUGGGUUCAAGCACCAGCACUGGGGGGUGGGGGGAAAUGAAAGCAUCAAAGUAAAAGAAAACUAUGAAUCAUCAUUGGUCUUUUAUGAACAUGGGAUUUGGAGUGGGGAUAUAACUCAGUAUAGAGGGCUUGCUCUAGCUCUGCCCCUAGCAUGUGUGAGGUCCUGGGUUCAAUUCCCAGUUCCACCA
This 239-nucleotide transfer RNA is filed under the name Marmota monax (woodchuck). Its description in RNAcentral is "tRNA.Ala". Lineage: Eukaryota; Metazoa; Chordata; Mammalia; Rodentia; Sciuridae. The record is from RNAcentral.